UACAUUUUGGUGUAUGGUGCACAUGAGUUUUUGAUGCUCUAGGUGUCAGUUUAAUUCUGUCGGAUGUAA
RNAcentral lists this transfer RNA (69 nucleotides) under Allotermes cf. paradoxus. Its description in RNAcentral is "tRNA-Gln". It matches the Rfam family "tRNA". Rfam says of the family: Transfer RNA (tRNA) molecules are approximately 80 nucleotides in length. Their secondary structure includes four short double-helical elements and three loops (D, anti-codon, and T loops). Lineage: Eukaryota; Metazoa; Arthropoda; Insecta; Blattodea; Kalotermitidae. The record is from RNAcentral.